GGGCCCGCACAAGCGGUGGAGUAUGUGGUUUAAUUCGAUGCAACGCGAAGAACCUUACCAGGGUUUGACAUCCUGCGAAUCUCUUGGAAACAGGAGAGUGCCUUCGGGAACGCAGUGACAGGUGGUGCAUGGCUGUCGUCAGCUCGUGUCGUGAGAUGUUGGGUUAAGUCCCGCAACGAGCGCAACCCACGUCUUUAGUUGCCAGCAUUUAGUUGGGCACUCUAGAGAAACUGCCUGGGAUGACCAGGAGGAAGGCGAGGAUGACGUCAAGUCCUCAUGGCCCUUAUGGGCUGGGCUACACACGUGCUACAAUGGCGGUGACAAAGGGAUGCAAUAGGGCAACCUGGAGCAAAUCCCUAAAAGCCGUCUCAGUUCGGAUUGUUCUCUGCAACUCGAGAGCAUGAAGUUGGAAUCGCUAGUAAUCGUAGAUC
RNAcentral lists this ribosomal RNA (431 nucleotides) under uncultured bacterium. Its description in RNAcentral is "bacterial SSU rRNA". It matches the Rfam family "Bacterial small subunit ribosomal RNA", at positions 917 to 1350 of the family's 1533-position model. The record is from RNAcentral.